AUGACCUCUGACCCCAAAGCCCAGGCUCUUUCCACUGAGCCACGCUGCUUCUCGAAUAAUCUCUCUCCCUGGGAUUAUUAUUAUUAUGAUGAUGAUGGGAUUAUUAUGAUGAUGAUGAUGAUGGGGGGGCAUUUGCGCGCAUGCGCGCGCUCGAGCACCGGCCGGGCCGCGCAGGCGCACCGAGUCGUCCCUCCUCUCCCCUCCAAAAGGGACCGCGCAGGCGCGCUGAGUCCCUCCGCCUCUCUUUGCUCCCAGUGGGGCCGCGCAAGCGCACCUCGUCCCUCCUCCUCUUCUCCCCAAGUGGGGCCGCGCAGGCGCGCCUCCUCCCUCCGCCUCUCCUUCUCUCUCCCAAGCGGGGCCGCGCAGGCGCGCCUCCUCCCUCCUCCUCUCCUCCCCCGCAAGCGGGGCCGCGCAGGCGCGCCUCCUCCCUCCGCCUCUCCUCUCUCCCCCCCCCGGUGGGGCCGCGCAGGCGCACCUCGUCCCUCCUCCUCUUUCCCCAAGCCGGACCGCGCAGGCGCGCCUCCUCCCUCCGCCUCUCCUCUCCCCCAAGUGGGGCCGCGCAGGCGCGCCUCGUCCCUCCUCCCGUCCCUCCCAACGGUACCGCGCAUACGCGCCGAGUCCCUCCUCCGCUCCCCAAGCCGGACCGCGCAGGCGCACCUCCUCCCUCCGCCUCUCCCCGAAAUGGGGCCGCGCAGGCGCGCCUCGUCCCUCCUCCCGUCCCUCCAAGCGGGACCGCGCAUGCGCGCCGAAUCCCUUCGCCUCUCCUCUCCCCCUCAGCGGGGCCGCGCAGGCGCACUUCGUCCCCCCUCCUCGCCCCGAGCGGAGCCGCGCAGGCGCAUCUCGUCCCUCCUCCUCUCCCCCGGCUCUCGUGCGCGGACGAAAUCUCGCGAGAGCAGGGAGGGGGCGGAGGAGAGGGAGGAGGCGGCGGCGGCGGCGGGGAAGGACCGGCCCGUUGCCGUGGUUGCCUCAGCGGCGGCCGAGGGACGACCAGGAAAACGGCGGCGGCGGGAGGGAGCGGAUGCUGACAGGACGGUGGUGUUGGCGCUCCCGGUAAUGGCGGCGGGCCUGUAG
RNAcentral lists this long non-coding RNA (1071 nucleotides) under Ornithorhynchus anatinus (platypus). Its description in RNAcentral is "lncRNA (ENSOANG00000040061.1)". The record is from RNAcentral. Lineage: Eukaryota; Metazoa; Chordata; Mammalia; Monotremata; Ornithorhynchidae.